This is a long non-coding RNA of Populus trichocarpa (black cottonwood), 1126 nucleotides long. RefSeq lists it as uncharacterized. The record is from RefSeq and is a predicted model, not a curated record. NCBI's taxonomy places the organism in Eukaryota, Viridiplantae, Streptophyta, Magnoliopsida, Malpighiales, Salicaceae. The transcript is spliced from 3 exons.
GAGCUCUUCUCACAUGGGAAACUUCUUGGUCCAUAAAAGGGGGUUUUGUUAUAUGGACCUCCAGGCACCGGGAAGACCAUGCUUGCAAAAGCUAUUGUCAGAGAGUCUGGAGUUAUUUUAAAAAUAUGAGGAUCUCCAAUCUGAUGAGCAAGUGGUUCGAUGAUGCACAAAAGCUCGUGCUGUUGUUUUUAGCCUGGCUUAUAAACUCCAGCCUGCUUUUAUAUUAAUUGACGAGGUUGACAGUUUUCUGGGGCAGCGUCGUACUACAGACCAUGAGGCAUUAACCAAUAUGAAGACUAAGUUCAUGGCAUUAUGGAAUGGGUUUACUAUAGAUCGUUUGUUCUUACUCUUGAAACAAGUCCUAUAUUUGUGCAGUCUUUUUAUACAGUGACUUGCUAGAAUGUGUUUUAUGUAAGAUUUGUGAAAGUGAUUUAUUCAUGGGCCUGGCCUGGGUGGACUCAGUGAUAAUAUUCUUACAGAGAAUGCACAAGAGAUGGUACUUGCUGGAACCAGCCGACCUUGAGAACUCGAUGAAGCAAUCCUUCAGCAUCUUCCUCAGCCUUUGAAAUUGGGAUACCUAAUCAAAGAGAGAGGGCUGAGAUCCUGAAGGUCGUUUUGAAAAGGGGAGAAAAUCGAAAGCAAAAUUGACUUUGACUACAUAGCAAGUUUUUGUGAGAGCUAUACUAGUUCAGAUUUUCUUGAACCUUGCAAGAAAGUAGCUUAUUUUCCUAUUAGGGACUUAUUGGAUAAGGAGAACAAGGGAAACAAAAUCUAGAGCACCAAGGCCAUUGUCCCAGUCAGACUUGCAGAGAGUUCUUGGCACAUCAACUAAGACCAGGGUUGCUGCAAAUGAGUACAGUAGUUCAAGCUCACAUUCACCUAGGUGGCCAGGUAGUCAGAUGACUACCAGGUUCAAGCCAUAACUAAUAAGCUCUCUACACUCAUAGUAUCUCAAAUUUUGAAUCUUCAGUCGGAUAAUCAGGACCCUUGAAAUAUUCAUUUGUUUUUUCUUAAUAUCAGGCCAAGACAAAUUGUAUUUUAAAUUAUUUUAAUGUUUUUCCUAUUCUGAAAUGCUCUAAGUAGAAUAUGUUGUUUUUAGGCAACUCAGAAUUGCAGAUUUGCUGUA